RNAcentral lists this ribosomal RNA (243 nucleotides) under uncultured bacterium. Its description in RNAcentral is "partial 16S ribosomal RNA". It matches the Rfam family "Bacterial small subunit ribosomal RNA", at positions 793 to 1034 of the family's 1533-position model. The record is from RNAcentral.
GUCCACGCCGUAAACGAUGUCAACUAGCCGUUGGGAGCCUUCGUGCUCUUAGUGGCGUAGCUAACGCGCUAAGUUGACCGCCUGGGGAGUACGGUCGCAAGAUUAAAACUCAAAUGAAUUGACGGGGGCCCGCACAAGCGGUGGAGCAUGUGGUUUAAUUCGACGCAACGCGAAGAACCUUACCAGGUCUUGACAUCCAGAGAACUUUCCAGAGAUGGAUUGGUGCCUUCGGGAACUCUGUGA